RNAcentral lists this long non-coding RNA (1027 nucleotides) under Fukomys damarensis (Damara mole-rat). Its description in RNAcentral is "lncRNA (ENSFDAG00000031368.1)". The record is from RNAcentral. Lineage: Eukaryota; Metazoa; Chordata; Mammalia; Rodentia; Bathyergidae.
GGCCAUUUGUCACUGUCAUGAUAAUUCCUUUUUUUUUCCCACCUAUGUUCUUAGCUCUAACGUAUUAAUAUCCCUUAACCACGUCCUCCCUUUGUAAAGUGUGUGUGGUUGGUUCCCCUGGCCUUCCUCCUUGGUUUUGACAGAACUGAAUCAGGCAAGCUGCCGUUCUCGGUUGUUACCGAGCAAAUCUUCAAGGUUAGGUACAGCAGUUCGUCGUAUUUGCUUGGGUGUAUUUAAAUGACGCCACUCCUUCCACUUGUUUAAAUGGGGUUUCUCAAAGUUGAAACACUGCUUUGCAAGCCAAUGAUGUUUCCAAACAGAAUUACAAUUGCCUUUGCCCUAGUCUAGUAUUUUUCCAUGACCUAGAAUUAUAGAGGUAAAACACAAAUUAAUUUUUGCAAUAAGGUUACAAUUUCUCGAUUGUGAUUCAAGUGCUGAUUUCAGUGUUAUUUCUCUAUUCUUUCUGCCAGCCAGAGAAAAGAGUGACUGGGGAGAGUUGCCAGCAUUUACUUUCUGUAAUCACAGACCAGUUCACAAUUUACCUGCUGUUUAUAUAAAACCACAUUUGCUUCUGAGGUUUUCCACCCUUCAUAUGAACAUUAUUGAGAAUGAGUGAGAGAGUCCUGGCUUUUAAAGAAUGACGGAUUGCUAUGGCUAAUGCUUCUACAACUAUAUCGAAGAGAGUCUGAGCAGAAGUUGUAUGAACAUUUGGCCUUGGCGCUGUCCUCCGGAAAUUGCCAACAUGAAGAAAAGCGAGGGAAGGGCUGAAGGAAUCCCCACAAAAUGUAAACACUCCUCAAAGAUAAAAAUACAGCACAGAGAAAAGAAGAGUCUGAGAUAUUAGCACCAUAAACCAGGAGAUAAUAGACUGGGUCAGCAACAGAAUGGCGUGAUUCGAGUCCACAGAUCCUGUCCUUGGCCUUGUGAGUGAUCUCAGAAACAGCUACAUGAUUCAUAGGAGAAUAUAACUGAUAGGCUUAUUAAGUAGAAACAAGAUGAGAAGGAACUGUGGCCCAAAUGACCCAGG